UUCUGCCUAGAAUCAAUCUCUUCACAUUUCCCACCGGAAUGUGGUCGGUAACUUUACUCAGCCUGUUUUUGGCGUUCUUAUCCCGUGUCCAUUGUGAUAUCGUGCUAACUCAACCGGAGGCGGCGACCGCCAGACCCGGAGGGACUCUGAGACUGACCUGUAAAACCAGCGGGUUCACUCUCAGCAGCUACUGGAUGAGCUUUAUUCGUCAGGUCCCCGGAAAGGGGCUGAAGUGGCUGCUUGCAUACUACGGUUCUUCGAGCAAGUACUUCGCCUCGGGGAUUCAGGGCAUAUUUACUCCGUCCAAAGACAGUUCAAACAAUAUUUUCGCCGUGGACGUGAGGGACCUGAGCACGGAAGACACCGCCGUCUAUUAUUGUGCGAAGCACACUGUGGGAGGAUCCAUGGUCGGAUCCGGCUUCGACUACUGGGGAGGAGGAACCAUGGUGACGGUGACUUACGCGGCACCAGCGGCCCCCUCUCUCUACCCUCUCCUCUCCUGUGAGCAACCCAGUCCCACCGACUUGCUCACUUUCGGAUGUGUGGCGACGGACUACUCUCCGUCGGGCAUCAUCAUUUCCUGGAAGAAAGAUAAAGUGCCGAUCACCACCGGACUGAAGACCUACACCGCGGUGUUCAACAGGAAGGGAACUUUCACCCGUAGCAGCCAAUUGACAGUCAGCGAGUCAGAAGCGGGGAGCAGCGCCAUCUACUGUGUGGUUCGGUCCGGUGAUACAGUCAAGGAAGUCCAAAUGCCCGAUCGAGCGGUUCUUCAUCCAAACGUCAUCAUCACCGUGAAUUCCCAUGAGGAAAUCAAAAGGAGCAAGAAAGGGACAGCCGUCUGUUCGAUAAGCGACUUCCGGCCAGCACAACUCACUGUAAAGUGGCUAAAGAAUGGACAGCUCCUGACUUCAGGUGUCGUCACCUCUCCCUCCUAUAAGUUGAAGGGGAACUUCUCCGCGACAAGCCAGGUGACAUUCUCAGCCGGAGCGUGGUUCACUGGUUCAGUCAUUACCUGUCAGGUCAUCCAUAAAAAGAACAUGCAAAGUUUAAACAUCAGCAUCUCUCAAGAUGUUAACACUUGCGAAGAGGAACAGAUUACAAUUCAGCCACCACCACUAGAGCAAGUCUUACUGGAAGCGAACGUGACCUUAACCUGCGUCGUCUCUCAUGCACCUUAUGGCGUCCGAGUAACGUGGAUGCAAGGAACGAAGGAGUUGAAAUCAGAGACUGCCUACCAGCCCGGAGAGACUCCCGACAGCGUGAUCAGCAACCUAAGCAUCUCAACGCAAGCUUGGCUGAGUGGGAAUGUGUUCGAUUGCGUGGUGCGACAUGCUGAAAUUCCCACUCCGAAAAGGGCUUCAAUCCGCAAGGAAAAAGAUCCACACCCACUGGAACCGUCCGUCUCCGUCCUCCUUCCGCCGACAGAUGAAGUCUCCACUCAGAGGUCCGUAACACUCACUUGCUUUGUGAGAGGUUUCUUCCCUCGCCGAAUAUUCGUCAAGUGGACGGUCGAUGACAAGCCGGUGGAUUCGCACAACUACAAGAACACUGAAGUGCUGCCGGAGAACGGCAACAGCUCCUACUUCAUGUACAGUAUGUUAUCCAUCGGGAGGGAGCAGUGGGCCAGCGGCGCUUCUGUCUCCUGUGUGGUGGGACAUGAAACCCUCCCCAUGAAGACCAUCGCCAGAACGGUCAAUCGGUCCAGCGGUAAACCUAGUUUUGUCAACGUUUCUAUUGUACUGAUGGACACUGUAAAUUCUUGUCAAUGAGAAUCACUCAAAUGAAUUGAGU
This is a non-coding RNA of Pristis pectinata (smalltooth sawfish), 1794 nucleotides long. NCBI's taxonomy places the organism in Eukaryota, Metazoa, Chordata, Chondrichthyes, Rhinopristiformes, Pristidae. The record is from the annotation of a RefSeq genome assembly.